This 263-nucleotide ribosomal RNA is filed under the name uncultured archaeon. Its description in RNAcentral is "partial 16S ribosomal RNA". It matches the Rfam family "Archaeal small subunit ribosomal RNA", at positions 719 to 982 of the family's 1478-position model. The record is from RNAcentral.
ACACGACUACAUUAGAUACCCGUGUAGUCCCAGCCGUAAACUAUGCUCGCUAGGUGUCGGGACGGUGCGACCGUUUCUGGUGCCGCAGGGAAGCCGUGAAGCGAGCCACCUGGGAAGUACGGUCGCAAGGCUGAAACUUAAAGGAAUUGGCGGGGAGCACAACAACGGGUGGAGCUUGCGGUUUAAUUGGAUUCAACGCCGGAAAUCUUACCGGGACCGACAGCAACAUGAAGGCCAAGCUGAAGACUUUGCCGGAUUAGCUG